GCGUGCGGUUUAAUUGGAUUCAACGCCGGAAAACUCACCAAAGCCGACUGUUAGAUGAAGACCAGCGUAACGAGCUUGUCGGAUUUUCAGAGAGGUAGUGCAUGGCCGUCGUCAGUUCGUACCGUAAGGCGUUCUGUUAAGUCAGAUAACGAACGAGACCCCCAUCGUCAUUUGCUAAUCCGUUCUCAGGAACGGACGCACUAUGGCGAGACCGCUGGCGUGAAGUCAGAGGAAGGCGGGGGCAACGGUAGGUCAGUAUGCUCCGAAUGCUUUGGGCUACACGCGCGCUACAAAGGACGGGACAAUGGGCUGCAACACCGAGAGGUGACGCUAUCCCGAAACCCGUUCGUAGUUCGGAUCGUGGGCUGUAACUCGCCCUCGUGAAGCUGGAUUUCGUAGUAAUCGCGUCUCAAAAUGGCGCGGUGAAUAUGCCCCUGCUCCUUGCACACACCGCCCGUCAAACCAUCUUAGUUGGGGGUGGGUGAGGCUACCUUUAAUUGGGGUAUUCGAGCCUGCCUUCGACAAGGAGGGUUAAGUCGUAACAAGGUACCUGUAGGGGAACCUGCAGGUG
RNAcentral lists this ribosomal RNA (571 nucleotides) under hydrothermal vent metagenome. Its description in RNAcentral is "bacterial SSU rRNA". It matches the Rfam family "Archaeal small subunit ribosomal RNA", at positions 893 to 1467 of the family's 1478-position model. The record is from RNAcentral.